This 1992-nucleotide long non-coding RNA is filed under the name Heterocephalus glaber (naked mole-rat). RNAcentral describes it as "lncRNA (ENSHGLG00100035528.1)". Lineage: Eukaryota; Metazoa; Chordata; Mammalia; Rodentia; Bathyergidae. The record is from RNAcentral.
CAUAUAGUUUCUCUAGUGUGAGAAACUGAAACUGUAAAUAAGGACUUAAAAGUACAAUAGAUAAUGUGAAAUAGGAAGAAAAGGGGCAAAGGGGAAGGGGAAGUGGGAGGGAUAGAGAAAAGGAAAAAAGGGAAUGGAAUUAAUAUGAGAAAAUGAAAAAAUGGAAACAAAGUCUUUGUAAAUAGGGAGGGAUGGAGGGGUUGAAGAGAGGGCAGGGGAAUGGGGAAAAAAUAAGAACCUAGGGAGAUUAUGUAAAGGUGCAGAUUUCCAGUGCUGAAUGUCAUUAUAUUAUAUACCUAAAAUGUACCAAUCAAAUUAAAAAAAGAAAUAGUGCAACAAUGCAAGGUCUGGAUAUGGAUCAAUAACUUAAAGGGAAAAAAAACAAAACCCAAAAUAAAUGGAACGAUGGAAGAAAGAUAAGAGUGGCAACUAAUGUGAAACAGUAAAUGAUAGAGAAAAGUCAAUAAAAGCAAAAGUUAGCUCUUUAGAAGAUCAAAAAAGUUGCCGAGCAUGAUGGCACAUGCCUGUAAUCCCAGCACUCGGGAGGCUAAGGCAAGAGGAUCUCCAUGAGUUUGAGGUCAGCCUCAGCUACAUAGUUCAAAGUGAGCCUGAACUACAUUUUGAGACCCUAUCUCAAACAAAACAAAACAAGGAAGGGCCUGCCUGCUGCGCAAGCGCAAGGACCCAAGUUCAAUCCCUGGUACCAAAAAGCCCCCCCCAAAAACAACAACAAAAAAGGAAAAACAGAAGAUCAACAAAGUUAACAGACAAGAAGAAAAGAGUUAGGCAUUGUGGUGCAUGCCUGUGAUCCCAGGUACUCAGGAGGCUGAGGUAGGAGGAUCAUAAAUUCAACCCCAGCCUGGGCAAUUUAGCAAGACCUGAGUUCAAUACCUAGUACUGAAAAACAAGGUUAGGGAGGGGCUCAAUCUCCAGUACUGCAAAAACAAAGGAACAAAAUAUACAAAAAUCUAGCUGUAUUUAUGUAUACUAGGAAGAAAUCCAAAAUGAAACUAAGCAAAUAAUUUCAUUGACCACAGCACCAAAAACAAAAAGAUUUAGGAAUAAUUUCACAAAAUAAAUCCAAAGGUAUACACUGACAAUUAUAAAACACUGCUUAAUUUAAAAAAUAAAGGAAGAGACAAAUGAUAUCCAUGGAUUGGAAUGCUCAGUGGUUCCGCCACCUGCCUCGCAAGCUCAGAGUUCCGAGUUCGAUCCUUGGUACCAAAAAAAUAAAAAAUAAAUAAAUAAAUAAAAAUGAGCCAAAAAUGUGAAUAGUCAUUUCACCAAAGAAGUUAGCUAUACGAAUGGCUAAUAAACACAUGAGCAGAUGUUCAGCAUCAUUAGUCAUUAGGGAAAUGUAAAUGGGAGCCACAUUGAGAAUCCUUACUAGAAUGGCUAUCAUCAGAACUCACAUGUAUUCCUGGUGGCAAAAUAAAGUGAUAUAGGCAAUGCGGAAGACCAUUUGGCAAUUUCUUUAAAAGUUUAACUUACAAAGCCAGCAAUUUCAUUCCUAAGUAUACAAGAGAAAUGAAAACAUGUUCCACAAAGACUUGUGAGUGUUCAUAUCAGUAGCCAAAAUUGGGAAACAAUCCAAAUGUUUAUCAAUAGGUGAGUAGAGGGUAAGUAAAAUGUGAUAUUAUCCACACAUUAGUAGUCCACGAUAAGAAAUAAUAAAUUACCUAUAAAUGUCAUGAUAUAGAACUUUAUACUCUGUGAAAGAAGCUAGACAAAAGAAGACUACAUACAUUAUGAUGGUGGUGGUGGGGGGGGCUUUGCACUGAGCUACACUCCCAGCACUUCCUAUUUUUGAGACAGGAUCUUGCUAAAUUACCCAGGCUGGGCUUGAAUUUGUGAUCCUCCUCCCUCAGCUUCCCAGGGGGCUGGUACUACAGGUGUGCACCGCUGCACCCAGUUUUAUUUUAUUCUUUUUAUAUAAACUUUCACAAAAGGCAAAUCUAUAGCUACAGAAAGCAGAUAAAUUAUUACCUGGGG